UUAAGUACUUGUGCCGCGGGAA
Molecule: microRNA, 22 nt
Filed under: Magallana gigas (Pacific oyster)
Lineage: Eukaryota; Metazoa; Mollusca; Bivalvia; Ostreida; Ostreidae
Description: Mgi-Mir-252-P2_5p (mature (guide))
Source: RNAcentral